CUGGGCUUGACAUGCAUCUCUAAGCGCGUGAAAGCGCGUGACCCUUCGGGGGAUUUGCACAGGUGCUGCAUGGCCGUCGUCAGCUCGUGUCGUGAGAUGUUGGGUUAAGUCCCGCAACGAGCGCAACCCUUGUGACUGGUUGCCAGCGCGUAAUGGCGGGAACUCGAGUCAGACUGCCCAGAUCAACUGGGAGGAAGGUGGGGACGACGUCAGGUCAGUAUGGCCCUUACGCCCAGGGCUGCACACGUACUACAAUGCCCGGCACAGUUGGAGCCGAAGCCGCGAGGUGGAGGAAAUCCGCAAAACCGGGCCCAGUUCGGAUUGGAGGCUGCAACCCGCCUCCAUGAAGUCGGAAUCGCUAGUAAUGGCGCAUCAGCUACGGCGCCGUGAAUACGUUCCC
This 400-nucleotide ribosomal RNA is filed under the name uncultured bacterium. RNAcentral's name for it is "bacterial SSU rRNA". It matches the Rfam family "Bacterial small subunit ribosomal RNA", at positions 975 to 1375 of the family's 1533-position model. The record is from RNAcentral.